RNAcentral lists this ribosomal RNA (253 nucleotides) under uncultured bacterium. Its description in RNAcentral is "partial 16S ribosomal RNA". It matches the Rfam family "Bacterial small subunit ribosomal RNA", at positions 524 to 776 of the family's 1533-position model. The record is from RNAcentral.
UACGUAGGGUGCGAGCGUUAAUCGGAAUUACUGGGCGUAAAGCGUGCGCAGGCGGUUUUGUAAGCCAGAUGUGAAAUCCCCGGGCUUAACCUGGGAAUGGCAUUUGGGACUGCAAGGCUGGAGUGUGGCAGAGGAGACUGGAAUUCCUGGUGUAGCAGUGAAAUGCGUAGAUAUCAGGAGGAAUACCGAUGGCGAAGGCAGGUCUCUGGGCCAUAACUGACGCUGAGAAGCGAAAGCAUGGGGAGCGAACAGG